UUGCGGCGCCAGCACUUUCUUCGGGAAGUACAGGAAGCCCCACCCCUCGCCCCGCCCCGUCUCGCGGGAAACUGGCAGGUGGAGCUGGGCUCCAGACCCCGCCUGGCCCUGCGGUGGGUCCGCAUCCCCGCCCUCCGCCCAGGGCCUCCCUUCUCCCAGAGCCACCUCACAGCUCCGGGGCUUUUAAGAGCCUCCAGCCGAAGCCCUUUUUACCAAGGACCCUUGCUUCCCAAAGCGUGUUUUUACCAACCAAACUGAAAUUGCUGAGCCGCGGUUCUUUCCUUUUCCGGGUGGAUGUGGGGCGCCCCUCGGAACGCGCAUGACUGAGCUGCACUGAAGAUCCCGUGGGAGCCCGUGCGCCCCUCUCUCUACUCCUCCGUGAGUAGCUGACAGUUUCCCCACCCCCACUCCUGCUGUGACCGGUCAGCCCAAACAUGGUGGCCUGAGGGCCGGGAGCUCACUCCGGCCUCUGCGCCACUUCACAUGCUCCCCGCCCCCGCCCCCACCAUUACAAGGUGUCCUUCCGGAGGAGGCUACAGAGGUUGUUAGAGUUCUGGGUAGGGGGGAGGGCACGCUCAUUAUUUCCAGUGAGACAAGGAUCUUCAGACCCCGCGAUGGAAACCAGAGAACCGUUCGUUGAACGUCAGAAAUCUGACGGCAUCAUCAGUGUCCAUCCAGCAAGCCCCGCAGGAUGGACGAGGCCCUCCCGAAUGUCUUCCCAGCCUCAGAACCUGCACCAGCACCUUGAGCAAGUGCGGAGCCCGCGUGGCCCUACUCGAGGAGCCCUGUCCUGAGGAGCCUCCGCUCUGGGCCCCGAAUUGUAGCCCUGAGGCCCCACGGAGCAGGUCUGAGUCUGAGGAUGUCCCUCAGGUACUCAGCGAGCUCGGUUCAGGCCUCCCCUGCUCUAGCAAGGGACACCCCCCUGCAGCCCGCCGGGGCAAACACCGCGGGGUCUUCUGGAUCCUUCUUCUCUGAUCUGGUCCCAGCUUAUCUCGACCCGUCGUUGAGAAGGGAGGUGCCCGGAACUGAAAAGGAUGGCCGUCCGCAUGCUCAUCGGUCCUACAGAAUGGAACCCAAAUGCCAGGCUGACGACAAGGAGCAAGACAGACCCCGGCCAUCAUGAAGCUCCCGUCCUGGUAGAGGGGCGGGGGAUGUGGGGUAACGGACGAGGACAACAUCAGACAGUGACGCUCCGCAGAGCGGAAGCAGGUCCAACGAGGCAUGACCAGAGGUCAGGUGGCCUCCGUGAGGGGCUGACAUUCGUGCUGAGAUCUGAGUGACGAGAACAGCUGAAGCGAAGUCCCCAGUGCAGCAGCAGACCCCCUUCUCUGCCGCCUUUCGAAGAGGGAGAGGCGGAGGAGGAAGGACUCAGCGAGCCUCUUCCACACCCGUCCCCACAAGAGCGGGCCCCUUGAAUGCUCUCUCCCUCCUCGUGUCCUAGGGCAGGUGGCUGAAAUAGCCCGGAAGUCCCCUUCCCCACACCUGAGCAGCUGGAAUGGAGAGUGACUCAGACCUGAUUCGUGCCCCAGCACCUCCCACCGCGGGGACCCGUGACGACCGGUGCCUGCUUCCUGGGAUUCCUGUGCACAGGCUGUGCCCGUCUGCCCCGUGGAGCAAAGGAGGGGUUGGGGGUGUGGGCACCUGGAGAAUCAUCGUUUCCAGGGACGCCCUGGGGCAGUGCUCCUUACCCUUGGCUUCUCAUUCUUGGCCACACGAGCACCUGGGAGCGCAAAACAGGUGGUCAAGCCUGGGCCCCCGGACCGAGUUGGGGGUCAGAACAUCAGGGGACCCACGUAUGGCCUUUCUCAGCAGCUCUCUGGUGCUUCAGUCGUGUGGCUGAGACAGGAAUCACUGGGCUCUGGGGGUGCCUGGAUGGCACAUCGUGGAGCCUGCUUGGGAUCCUCUCUCUCUCUGCCUCUCCCCCAUCCCUCUCUCUUGCUGUCCCUCUCUCUGUCUCUCAAACAAAUACAUUUAAAAAAUGAAAUAAAAUAAAAGGGAUCACUGGGUCCCAGCAAAGGGCAGGCGCAGGCUGGAACGGUAGAGGUGAGAUAGAAAUCGGGUGCCAGUGCCCUGGGCGUGAGGACGGUCUGCAGCGGGGAAGAGGCGAGGGUGCCCCGAGGUGGUAAACAACCGCAGAUGGGCAAGAAGGAGCUUGCAGAAUGGGGCACCUGGGCCCUUGCCCAGAUACGGUAAAGCCAGAGAGAAGGGCGGGAGGAGCAGGGGAGCUGGCGUGCGGGCUGGGCGGUGGCUGGGAGGCAGGGGCAGGCCUGACUCCGGGGUGCGAGGCUGGGAGAGGCCGGCUCCCCUCCGGCUUAGAGGGUCACCGAGCAGUCCCAGUGAGUGAGGGGUAUGGCAGCCAUAUUGUGGACCCUCAAACUCAAAAUCGGGACUGGUUUACGGAGGAAAUGGGACACGAUGUCUUAUCUAGAUUUUUCCUGAGAAUCUGGCCCACAGAGGCCCUGUGCCGGGGUGGCGGAGGGGAUGUGCCCUGUGAAGAGCACUGAUCUGAAACCCUAUAAACUGGUACAAUGGCAUCGAUGUCCCCGUCUGUCCUGUGACUCACAGGCCCUGGAAACUCCCCAUUUCUACACCGAGAGCAGGCGAACUUGCGGCCGUUAGGUUUUAGCGUCCACCCGGCUGGACCGAGGGACACC
Molecule: long non-coding RNA, 2654 nt
Organism: Prionailurus viverrinus (fishing cat)
Lineage: Eukaryota; Metazoa; Chordata; Mammalia; Carnivora; Felidae
Exons: 3
Source: RefSeq, a predicted model, not a curated record